Long non-coding RNA from Aedes aegypti (yellow fever mosquito), 506 nucleotides. RefSeq lists it as uncharacterized. The record is from RefSeq and is a predicted model, not a curated record. NCBI's taxonomy places the organism in Eukaryota, Metazoa, Arthropoda, Insecta, Diptera, Culicidae. The transcript has 2 exons.
UCGAACUCUCCCCGUGUAUCUGCUCGUCUCUUCCUCCGCCUAUGCCUCGACGAGAGCCCUUUUGCUUCAUGGCUCAGCUUUGCAGUAGUCGUCGUCGUCGUCGUUGUUCCCAGGGCUCUUUGUUACCCUUUCCGCCCACUAUGCCAUUCACGACGGGGGGAAUCAAUUUUAUCCAUCUUCUUUGCACUCUUCUCGAUGGAGUAGUUGUUGUCAUUCUUCUAUAGUGUUGCUGCACCAGUAUAUGCCAACAAAUCAGCGAAAAUAGAAAAUGGAUGCGACUCGCACUGCGCUCUCGCAGCGCGGCCACAUCCUUUAGCACUUUCGAGGCAGGCUUAAUCGCCGUGCAGCAGCAGUACUUUCCUCAUCAGAAUCUCGCACAAAUUAGAUGUUAUUUUUAAACCACGAAGACGACGACGGAGCAGGCGAAAAAAUUGUAACAAGAUAAAAAUGAAUUCAAUUCAGUGUUUUAAUAUAAAAAUAACACUCAUACAAGCGAGCUUGAGCUA